RNAcentral lists this ribosomal RNA (492 nucleotides) under uncultured bacterium. Its description in RNAcentral is "partial 16S ribosomal RNA". It matches the Rfam family "Bacterial small subunit ribosomal RNA", at positions 29 to 507 of the family's 1533-position model. The record is from RNAcentral.
AGUGAACGCUGGCGGUAGGCCUAACACAUGCAAGUCGAACGGCAGCACAGUAAGAGCUUGCUCUUACGGGUGGCGAGUGGCGGACGGGUGAGGAAUACAUCGGAAUCUACUUUUUCGUGGGGGAUAACGUAGGGAAACUUACGCUAAUACCGCAUACGACCUACGGGUGAAAGCAGGGGAUCUUCGGACCUUGCGCGAUUGAAUGAGCCGAUGUCGGAUUAGUUAGUUGGCGGGGUAAAGGCCCACCAAGGCGACGAUCCGUAGCUGGUCUGAGAGGAUGAUCAGCCACACUGGAACUGAGACACGGUCCAGACUCCUACGGGAGGCAGCAGUGGGGAAUAUUGGACAAUGGGCGCAAGCCUGCUCCAGCCAUACCGCGUGGGUGAAGAAGGCCUUCGGGUUGUAAAGCCCUUUUGUUGGGAAAGAAAAGCAGCAGGUUAAUACCCCGCUGUUCUGACGGUACCCAAAGAAUAAGCACCGGCUAACUUCGUG